AUAGCGUAUAUUAAAGUUGUUGCAGUUAAAAAGCUCGUAGUUGAACUUUAGGCAAGGCGGCCGGGUCUCCCAAUGGCUGUACUUGGCUCGCCGCGCCUCACCUUCGGGGAACUAGUCGUGCUUCGGUGCGCUAGGGAACCGAGCCUUACUUUGAAGAAAUUAGAGUGUUUAAAGCAGGCUUACGCUUGAAUACAUCAGCAUGGAAUAACAUGAUAGGACUUUGGUUCUAUUUUGUUGGUUUGAGGACCAAAGUAAUGAUUAAUAGGGCCAGUCGGGGGCAUUAGUAUUCUAUAGUCAGAGGUGAAAUUCUUGGAUUUAUAGAAGACUAACUAGUG
Molecule: ribosomal RNA, 335 nt
Filed under: uncultured eukaryote
Lineage: Eukaryota
Description: SSU rRNA
Rfam family: Eukaryotic small subunit ribosomal RNA
Source: RNAcentral